CACCAGUUCAGAUGCCUGCUCUGAAACCGGCGUCUUGUUUUCGAUGUCCCACGCCCUCAGCCAACAAUUGUUGUCACAGCUGUUGAGGACACAGUGCUGUGUGAAGUCUCGGAACAUCAUGCCAGAGUAGGAUCUUGCUUCCCAGGAGACCCAGGGCGAGGAGUCUUUACUCUCCCAUUGCCCUGCACCAGAGAUUCACUGGUUCAUCUCCCAGUCCCUCCCUCCCACCUUUCGUUACCCCUACCACAUCUUUUCCUUUCUAGUUCAUUUGUACUCCUUUAAACCCACUGUGUGCGAACUGGGCUGUCAGCCUGUGUCUGGGUGUAGGGCCGUCCACCGGAGCAUGAGUACCUACUAGGGGUCCCUCAAAAAACAACUCUUCCCCCCCCCAGCACUCAUCAACUUGCACUAGCUCCUCUCCUAUGAUUGAUACCUGAUGGGUCCUUCCCCCUCUGUGCUGUGAUUUUUGAUUGGCUGGAUCUUGG
This 485-nucleotide long non-coding RNA is filed under the name Rattus norvegicus (Norway rat). RNAcentral's name for it is "long non-coding RNA NONRATT033777". The record is from RNAcentral. Lineage: Eukaryota; Metazoa; Chordata; Mammalia; Rodentia; Muridae.